Molecule: ribosomal RNA, 279 nt
Filed under: uncultured bacterium
Lineage: Bacteria
Description: partial 16S ribosomal RNA
Rfam family: Bacterial small subunit ribosomal RNA
Source: RNAcentral
UGCCAGCCGCCGCGGUAAUACGUAGGGCGCAAGCGUUAUCCGGAAUUAUUGGGCGUAAAGAGCUUGUAGGCGGUUCGUCGCGUCUGGUGUGAAAGCCCAUCGCUUAACGGUGGGUCUGCGCCGGGUACGGGCGGGCUAGAGUGCAGUAGGGGAGACUGGAAUUCCCGGUGUAACGGUGGAAUGUGUAGAUAUCGGGAAGAACACCAAUGGCGAAGGCAGGUCUCUGGGCUGUUACUGACGCUGAGAAGCGAAAGCGUGGGGAGCGAACAGGAUUAGAUA